GAUGAACGCUGGCGGCGUGCCUAAUACAUGCAAGUCGAACGAAACUUCUUUAUCACCGAGUGCUUGCACUCACCGAUAAAGAGUUGAGUGGCGAACGGGUGAGUAACACGUGGGCAACCUGCCCAAAAGAGGGGGAUAACACUUGGAAACAGGUGCUAAUACCGCAUAACCAUAGUUACCGCAUGGUAACUAUGUAAAAGGUGGCUAUACUACCGCCUUUGGAUGGGCCCGCGGCGCAUUAGCUAGUUGGUAGGGUAAAGGCUUACCAAGGCAAUGAUGCGUAGCCGAAUUGAGAGGUUGAUCGGCCACAUUGGGACUGAGACACGGCCCAAACUCCUACGGGAGGCAGCAGUAGGGAAUCUUCCACAAUGGGCGAAAGCCUGAUGGAGCAACGCCGCGUGGGUGAAGAAGGUCUUCGGAUCGUAAAACCCUGUUGUUAGAAGAAAGUGCGUGAGAGUAACUGUUCACGUUUCGACGGUAUCUAACCAGAAAGCCACGGCUAACUACGUG
RNAcentral lists this ribosomal RNA (510 nucleotides) under uncultured bacterium. RNAcentral's name for it is "partial 16S ribosomal RNA". It matches the Rfam family "Bacterial small subunit ribosomal RNA", at positions 28 to 507 of the family's 1533-position model. The record is from RNAcentral.